This is a non-coding RNA of Ictidomys tridecemlineatus (thirteen-lined ground squirrel), 74 nucleotides long. The record is from Rfam. Lineage: Eukaryota; Metazoa; Chordata; Mammalia; Rodentia; Sciuridae.
GUGGUUGUGGCUCAGUGGUAGAGCGCUUGCCUAGCAUGCGUGAGGAGGCACUGGGUUCGAUUCUCAGCACCGCA